This is a long non-coding RNA of Bombus huntii, 1245 nucleotides long. RefSeq lists it as uncharacterized. NCBI's taxonomy places the organism in Eukaryota, Metazoa, Arthropoda, Insecta, Hymenoptera, Apidae. The transcript has 2 exons. The record is from RefSeq and is a predicted model, not a curated record.
GACUGAAAGUGCAUGUAUAUAUACAUAAUUUAAUAUGUAGUACUUGGUAAUAAAUAUAGUAGUCGUACUUUGAAUUGGAAAAAUUUGUAAAUAACACUGACAAAACGUGUCUGAACGAGCUGAUCUAUAAGAAAGGGAUGUUUAUAGAAUAACUGGAGAAACGAUAUAUUAAGAUGAGUUUUUAAUUUAAUACGAUAAAUUCCGUUUGAUUUAGCUAUUAUUUAUAUUUAUGAGAGCAUUUUUACAAUGUUUCCAAUUAUAAAUAGGUUUGCAAAUAAUCCCAGGCCAGCAUAGAGCUUUAUAUACGAAGCUUGCCAUCAACUCUUAAACAUGGUGUUAAAUAAAUCUAAAAUUUUUAUGAUAGUAAUGAUGGAGAGAGAGGGAAAAAGAGAGAUUAUAUUAUCCUGAGAUUUGAAGUUUUAUAUGUAAUUUCACCAGUACAUUUUCCAUAGGCGAAUGACACAAAAGAUUUGAAAUAUGCUUUUAUAAUUAUAAUUAUUUGAUAUAAGGUGUUGCACUCCCGUAAUAGAAAGGUUGACAAUAAAAUGAUCGUACAAGAUGUCGGCGUUCGCGUAAAUACUUCUUAUGAAGAGCACAAUUCAAUUGAUUUAACCAAAAAUAGAAUUUAAUGUUUUCCAUAGAAUCCUCCAUCAAAACUGUUUUAUUCUUUCGACCGUUACUUGCUGCGCUAUUCAAUUUUGAUCCCCUGAAAAGUACAAAAAUCAUUUCUUCCUCAUCUUCCCCUUAUCUCCCAUUUUUGUAAUGGUGUAGAUAUUAUAUCUAAAAGAUUUUACUGCAUAAUAUUCGAUACGAUUCUUUUUUCUUUAUCCAAUUUUAUUUCUUUUUGAUUUUUCGGCGUAUACAAAACACAUUCGUUGAUAAUUUGUGCUUCAUGGAUGCUAUCACAAUUAGAUUUUACUAUCGCACCUGUUCGUUUAGUAGUUUCAAAGUGUUUUCUACGAAAUAAUUUCUGCUUUUGACGAUAUUUAUCUUCCUGCUUUUUGCGUAUUUGUGCCUAAGUAAAAAACAAAAAAUAAAUAAAUAAAAUUGUUUAAUAAUAUUACGGGGAACUUGACAAAAAAAUUAUAGAAUGAAUUAUAAUCUACACCUGCCGUAUUACUUUCUUCCAUUUCAUAUUUGCCAAAUUUUCAAGUAACUUCCGCUGCCGUUCAGUUUCUAUUUUUCUAAGUAUCUGCUGAUAUAUAACGGUUUUUUUAUCUUUCCAGUCUUCGAAGGAUAACUUUC